Molecule: long non-coding RNA, 1475 nt
Organism: Hippocampus comes (tiger tail seahorse)
Lineage: Eukaryota; Metazoa; Chordata; Actinopteri; Syngnathiformes; Syngnathidae
Exons: 2
Source: RefSeq, a predicted model, not a curated record
CCUUGUCUCCUUUAAAUAAUUAAGUGCAUUCUCAUCGCUUUUUCGUGACACCAGGCUGUUUUUGCCAAGCGGUGCAAUGUGCCCAUUCUGGUGUUGCUCUCCAGAACUUGUUGACUUGAUGCCACAGGCUGAAUUGCUGUAACAAUAUCGAUUAAUAUGCAUCAACAGUGGCAGCAGGUGAGGUCUGCUCAAACACAAAAACAUCAAGGACGUCUUGUGAAUUACACAGUCACCUCCUUGGGGUAUCUUCGAGUUUACUUGGGUUAACAUUGGGGGGAAAAAAAAAGAAAGAAAAGAAAUCAACACAAAAAAUGCACUGGGAAAAGUUGCACCCAAAACCCUGAGAAAACAUGAACAAAGCCAAAUGCAAAACAAUUCACAAGCAUUAUGAAUGUGGGUGCUGAGCAAACCAUAGUCAUGCUAGAUCUGCCCUUUGUAUCCCGCUGCCCCCCCAAAUAUAUAUCUUUUUUUUAUUCAGCACAAAUUUUAAAACAGAAAUAAGCCAUAGUUUAACAAAACCAGCCUGAUACUGACCCUGAAAACAAAACACUUCCUCACAGGCUUUCCCCAAAAUAUGACAGACUUUAAACAUAAACAUUAUUUUUGAGCAGACAUCAAGCCAAUAUUCUUCUUCACAAGAAUAUGUUCUAUGCAGCUUUCACGAGUCUAAAAACAGCAUUUCAUUUAAUAUUGAGCAUGUGGAAUAGGAAUUAAGCAGUAAGAUCCACACGUUUUUGGCCAUCUCGGGGGUGGCCAUUUUGUCACUUGCUGUCGACUGAAAAUGACAUCACACUUGCUCGGGGCUCAGAAAGUGACUACAGUGGAUUGGCAGAAUCGACUGCAAGACAGAACCACCUGGGCUUCCGUACAGAGUGCCAGAAGAAACGAAUGAUCCAGAGAGAGGAUGACAGACGAAAGUGAGCACGCCAGAUGCAGGUGUUGCUCGAACACACCGGAGGAAUGCAUGACUAAAUUAUUCAGGGAGUUGUCAAUGCAUCUGGGUCUCAUCUCGGACUUCCAGCCGGAAUUGCUUGUCCGGCAGCCAUCUCUGAAAAAAACUAUACCGAUAGGAAAAAGUGAAAGAAGAGGCCUAUAUAUUGGACCGUGUGCAUAUACUCUUGCCUCCCUGCAAGUUUUUCCACAUAAUCCAAAUGGCGUUCAUUGUCAUUACAUUUUCUGAACAAAAUAAUUCCCUCUCAUACAAAACGGAGUCCUUCGUAUGAGCCAAUGUUAGGGCUGCUAUCAAAAAUGGUGUCUGAUUUUUGUAUAGGGCUAUAAAAGGCAGAACCUGGAGUGGUGAGUGACAUGGGUGUCAAUAAAUUUGAUUGCAUCGCUCGCUGAAUGAAUCGGCUAACCCAUUAGCCAGUAUGCGUGCUGAGUGACUCAAUGGGAGUUGUGGCCAUGCCUGCGUACGAAUGUGCUUAUUAUAUUGGUGGUGUUCUUACAGUUUGUUCAAUAAAGUGAUUGAAAGUGGU